This 77-nucleotide transfer RNA is filed under the name Cutibacterium acnes. RNAcentral's name for it is "tRNA-Lys". It matches the Rfam family "tRNA". From Rfam's summary of the family: Transfer RNA (tRNA) molecules are approximately 80 nucleotides in length. Their secondary structure includes four short double-helical elements and three loops (D, anti-codon, and T loops). The record is from RNAcentral. Lineage: Bacteria; Bacillati; Actinomycetota; Actinomycetes; Propionibacteriales; Propionibacteriaceae. RNAcentral also lists the same sequence under 2 other names.
GCCCCCGUAGCUCAGAUGGUUAGAGCAGCGGACUUUUAAUCCGCGGGUCCUGGGUUCGAGUCCCAGUGGGGGCACCU